Molecule: ribosomal RNA, 466 nt
Filed under: uncultured Thiobacillus sp.
Lineage: Bacteria; Pseudomonadati; Pseudomonadota; Betaproteobacteria; Nitrosomonadales; Thiobacillaceae
Description: bacterial SSU rRNA
Rfam family: Bacterial small subunit ribosomal RNA
Source: RNAcentral
UUAGACGGGGACCCGCACAAGCGGUGGAUGAUGUGGAUUAAUUCGAUGCAACGCGAAAACCUUACUACCCUUGACAUGUCCGGAAUCCUGCAGAGAUGCGGGAGUGCCCGAAAGGGAAUCGGAACACAGGUGCUGCAUGGCUGUCGUCAGCUCGUGUCGUGAGAUGUUGGGUUAAGUCCCGCAACGAGCGCAACCCUUAUCAUUAGUUGCUACGCAAGGGCACUCUAAUGAGACUGCCGGUGACAAACCGGAGGAAGUGGGGAUGACGUCAAGUCCUCAUGGCCCUUAUGGGUAGGGCUUCACACGUCAUACAAUGGUCGGUACAGAGGGUUGCCAAGCCGCGAGGUGGAGCCAAUCCCAGAAAGCCGAUCGUAGUCCGGAUUGUUCUCUGCAACUCGAGAGCAUGAAGUCGGAAUCGCUAGUAAUCGCGGAUCAGCAUGUCGCGGUGAAUACGUUCCCGGGUCUU